GUUUUACACUUGAUCUUUGAACUUCGGGUAAGUUCAUGUGUUGAAAAAAUCCGAAU
This 56-nucleotide small nucleolar RNA is filed under the name Trifolium pratense (red clover). RNAcentral's name for it is "snoRNA snoR101". It matches the Rfam family "Small nucleolar RNA snoR101", at positions 1 to 56 of the family's 66-position model. Lineage: Eukaryota; Viridiplantae; Streptophyta; Magnoliopsida; Fabales; Fabaceae. The record is from RNAcentral.